This 229-nucleotide ribosomal RNA is filed under the name uncultured bacterium. RNAcentral's name for it is "partial 16S ribosomal RNA". It matches the Rfam family "Bacterial small subunit ribosomal RNA", at positions 568 to 796 of the family's 1533-position model. The record is from RNAcentral.
UGCGCAGGUGGGAAUGUAAGUCAGUGGUGAAAUACUGCCGCUUAACGGUAGAGCUGCCAUUGAUACUGCGUUUCUUGAGUAUGGUUGAGGUAGGUGGAAUGUGUUGUGUAGCGGUGAAAUGCAUAGAUAUGACACAGAACGCCGAUUGCGAAGGCAACUUACUAAGCCAUUACUGACGCUGAGGCACGAAAGCGUGGGUAGCGAACAGGAUUAGAUACCCUGGUAGUCC